GGCGAGUGAAGCGGCAACAGCUCAAAUUUGAAAUCUGGCCCUUUCAGGGUCCGAGUUGUAAUUUGUAGAGGGUGCUUUGGCGUCGGCCGUGGUCUAAGUUCCUUGGAACAGGACGUCACAGAGGGUGAGAAUCCCGUACGUGGCCGCCGGUCUUCGCCGUGUAAAGCCCCUUCGACGAGUCGAGUUGUUUGGGAAUGCAGCUCUAAAUGGGAGAUAAAUUUCUUCUAAAGCUAAAUAUUGGCCAGAGACCGAUAGCGCACAAGUAGAGUGAUCGAAAGAUGAAAAGCACUUUGGAAAGAGAGUCAAAAAGCACGUGAAAUUGUUGAAAGGGAAGCGCUUGCAGCCAGACGUGCCCGCAGUUGCUCACCCGGGCUUUUGCCCGGGGCAUUCUUCUGCGGGCAGGCCAGCAUCAGUCCGGGCGGUUGGAUAAAGGCCUCUAUCACGUACCACCCUUCGGGGUGUCCUUAUAGGGGAGGCGCAACACGGCCAGCCUGGACUGAGGACCGCGCAUUUGCUAGGAUGCUGGCGUAAUGGCUGUAAGCGGCCCGUCUUGAAACACGGACCAAGGAGUCUAACAUCUAUGCGAGUGUUUGGGUGUAAAGCCCGGGCGCGCAAUGAAAGUGAACGGAGGUGGGAACCCCUCGGGGUGCACCAUCGACCGAUCCUGAAGUCUUCGGAUGGAUUUGAGUAAGAGCAUAGCUGUUGGGACCCGAAAGAUGGUGAACUAUGCCUGAAUAGGGUGAAGCCAGGGGAAACCCUGGUGGAGGCUCGCAGCGGUUCUGACGUGCAAAUCGAUCGUCAAAUUUGGGCAUAGGGGCGAAAGACUAAUCGAAACCAUCUAGUAGCUGGUU
RNAcentral lists this ribosomal RNA (851 nucleotides) under Pararoussoella quercina. RNAcentral's name for it is "partial large subunit ribosomal RNA". It matches the Rfam family "Eukaryotic large subunit ribosomal RNA", at positions 88 to 956 of the family's 3401-position model. Lineage: Eukaryota; Fungi; Ascomycota; Dothideomycetes; Pleosporales; Thyridariaceae. The record is from RNAcentral.